RNAcentral lists this ribosomal RNA (499 nucleotides) under uncultured bacterium. RNAcentral's name for it is "bacterial SSU rRNA". It matches the Rfam family "Bacterial small subunit ribosomal RNA", at positions 26 to 518 of the family's 1533-position model. The record is from RNAcentral.
AGGACGAACGCUGGCGGCGCGCCUAACACAUGCAAGUCGAACGAGUUAAACUAGCCGAAGUUUCGGAUGGAAGCGAAUUAGCUUAGUGGCGAACGGGUGAGUAACACGUGAGUAACCUGCCCUUCGAUGGGGGACAACAGUUGGAAACGACUGCCUAAUACCGCAUAAGACCACAGUGCCACAUGGCACAGUGAUCAAAGGAUUAAUUUUCGCUGAAGGAUGGGACUCGCGUCUGAUUAGCUAGAUGGUGAGGUAACGGCCCACCAUGGCAACGAUCAGUAGCCGGACUGAGAGGUUGAUCGGCCACAUUGGGACUGAGACACGGCCCAGACUCCUACGGGAGGCAGCAGUGGGGGAUAUUGCACAAUGGAGGAAACUCUGAUGCAGCGACGCCGCGUGAGGGAAGAAGGUUUUCGGAUUGUAAACCUCUGUCUUCGGGGACGAAACAAAUGACGGUACUCGAGGAGGAAGCCACGGCUAACUACGUGCCAGCCGCCGC